GUCCUAUGGAGAAUUAUACUUCCAAGGGGGCGCAAGACGUAAGAGGGGAGGACAGAGAAUGCAUUAUGUGAGUAGAGAUGAGAAAAGUACAUCGGCAUCUGAUGAAGAAGGCAUUUAUACUGUGUACAGUUUGCAAGAAACAGAAAUUCCGAAAGUAGCUCCACUGACCAUCACGUUGGCUAUUAACAAAUCAAAUGUAUCGUUUGAAGUGGAUACUGGCUGUAGUGUGACCAUAAUGAACAGCUCCAAUUUUGUUAAAUUGUGGAAAAAAGAUGACAUUCCUGAAUUAAAGACAUGUUCUUUGAAUUUAAAAACCUAUACGGGCCAAGUUUUAACUGUGUUGGGCUCUACACAAGUUGAAGUUGCAUACAACAGCACAAUGAAAACGUUACCAGUCAUAGUAGUACCCGGAAUGGGGCCCAAUUUAUUGGGCAGAGGAUGGAUUAAAGAAUUAGGCAUAAAUUGGGAGGCACUACAUAGGAUUCAAGAGGUGGAAGAAUUAACUUUGCCUAAAGUCCUCAGUAAAUAUGCAGAGUUGUUUAAAGAUGAAUUGGGAAAGUUGAAGGGUCCACGGCGACGAUUUAUGUGGAUAAGGAAGCAGUCCACGGUUUUUAAAGCCAGAUCAGUCCCUUAUGCAAUGAAGGCAAAGGUAGAAGCAGAAAUAGAACGCCUAUUGAGAGAACACAUCAUAGAGCCCGUUAAACAUUCUGAAUGGGCUGCCCCUGUUGUACCCGUUUUAAAACCAGACAAUACCAUACGUCUAUGUGGUGACUACAAACUAACAGUGAACAGAGUUUCAAAGUUGGAACAGUAUCCCAUUCCUAGGAUAGAGGAUUUGUUUGCAACAUUGUCAGGUGGAAAAAAAUUCACAAAUUUGGAUAUGAGCCAUGCUUAUCACCAGAUUGCAUUAGAUGCAGAGUCCAGGAAAUAUGUUACUGUGAAUACCCAUAAAGGGUUAUUUACUUACCGUGUUUUACCUUUUGGAGUCUCUUCCAGCCCCGCUAUCUUCCAGCGGACCAUUGAAGGAGUACUGCAAGGCCUUCCCCAUGUAGCAGUUUUCCUUGAUGAUAUCCUAAUAACUGGUCGGAAUGACGAAGAACAUCUCCAGAUCCUUGGAAAGGUGUUGGACAGAUUGCAGGAAGCCGGACUGCGAUUGAAGCGAAGUAAAUGUACCUUCAUGGAAAAAGAGGUGCAGUUCUUUCCCAUAAGAUGCCUGAUGGAAGUGAAAGACCUAUUGGAUUUAUGUCACGAACAUUGAAUCAAGCGGAGCGGAAUUAUUCACAAUUGGACAAAGAAGGGUUGGCAGUAAUGUUCGGGUUGCAGCGUUUUCACAAGUAUUUGUAUGAAUCCAACGAUGGGCCGUGACCCUAAGGGCAUAUGAGUACAACAUCAUUUACAAGGCUGGCAAGGAUCAUGGCAAUGCGGAUGCUUUAAGUAGGCUACCAGUACCAAUGGAAUCUUCUACAGAGCAGGAAGAAAGAGUUCUAAUGCUGGAGAAUGCUGAUAUCACCUUGAUCACAGCCGAACAGGUGAGAGAAUGGACAAGGAAUGAUCCAGUAUUAUCCAGAGUGAGAGAAACAGUGCAUCAUGGAUGUUUGCAUGAAUUAAUAGGAACACAGUUUGAUCCAUUCACAACAAGAAAAGAUGAAUUAAGUGUACAGGAUGGCUGUGUGCUCUGGGGGGCUCGAGUAAUCAUUCCUACCAUAGGUAGACCAGAAGUUCUGAAACAACUGCAUCAGUGCCAUCCAGGAGUGUCUAGGAUGAAAGCUUUAGCCAGAAGUUAUGUGUGGUGGCCCAAGUUAGAUCAGGAUGUGGAAAGGCUGGUUAAAACUUGUCGUAUGUGCCAAGAGCAUAGGAAUGUUCCAGCUGUUGCUCCACUGCAUCCUUGGAAUUGGCCAGAAAAACCAUGGCAACGACUACAUGUGGAUUAUGCAGGACCAUUUAUGGGAAAAAUGUUCUUUGUUUUGAUUGAUGCUCAUUCAAAAUGGAUUGAUGUGUAUCCAGUAAAUUCUGCUACAACUGCUUCCACCAUUGAUUGUUUAUGAAAUAGCUUCAGUAAUCAUGGAUUACCUGAACUAAUUGUAUCAGACAAUGCUACAUGUUUCAUUAGUGCUGAAUUUAAAGACUUCCUGAAUAAAAAUGGAGUGGAGCA
RNA transcript from Puntigrus tetrazona (Sumatra barb), 2152 nucleotides. RefSeq lists it as uncharacterized. The record is from RefSeq and is a predicted model, not a curated record. NCBI's taxonomy places the organism in Eukaryota, Metazoa, Chordata, Actinopteri, Cypriniformes, Cyprinidae. The transcript has 3 exons.